RNAcentral lists this ribosomal RNA (229 nucleotides) under uncultured bacterium. Its description in RNAcentral is "partial 16S ribosomal RNA". It matches the Rfam family "Bacterial small subunit ribosomal RNA", at positions 568 to 796 of the family's 1533-position model. The record is from RNAcentral.
UGCGCAGGCGGAAUAAUUAGUCAGUGGUGAAAUCUCUCGGCUCAACCGGGAAACUGCCAUUGAUACUGUUAUUCUUGAGUAUAGUUGUAGUGGGCGGAAUAUAGCAUGUAGCGGUGAAAUGCUUAGAUAUGCUAUAGAACACCGAUCGCGAAGGCAGCUCACUAAACUAUAACUGACGCUCAGGCACGAAAGCGUGGGGAGCAAACAGGAUUAGAUACCCUGGUAGUCC